AUUGCCCUUCAGAGUGGAUCUUCAGUUCCUGAGUGUAAUCCUACCAUUAAUAUCUCAUUCAUUAUAAAUCAACUUGCAGUGUCUGGUUUGAAAGUCAACCGGUUAGAUAUGUAUGGUGAGAAAUAUAAACCUUUUAAAGGAGUGAAAUAUGUGACAAAAGCUGGAAGAUUUCAAGUUCGAAUUUAAAUUAUAUUUGAGGACUUCCCAAGAAAUUAUGUAUUGAGACAAAAA
Molecule: long non-coding RNA, 231 nt
Organism: Uloborus diversus
Lineage: Eukaryota; Metazoa; Arthropoda; Arachnida; Araneae; Uloboridae
Exons: 3
Source: RefSeq, a predicted model, not a curated record